This is a long non-coding RNA of Rhincodon typus (whale shark), 876 nucleotides long. RefSeq lists it as uncharacterized. The transcript is spliced from 3 exons. Lineage: Eukaryota; Metazoa; Chordata; Chondrichthyes; Orectolobiformes; Rhincodontidae. The record is from RefSeq and is a predicted model, not a curated record.
UGUUUUUUCCAGUACUUUCUCUUCUGGUUUCUGAUUUCCAGGGUCCACGCUUCUUUGUUUCUCUUUUUCUGUCUGCCUUUCCAUUGGUCUGUUUCUAGUUCCGGGGGGCGGGGACAGUAUCGCCAGUCGGCGCUAUGAUUGGCUGAAGCGGACUGCCCCGCCUUCUUUCCCAAGUGAUUGGAGGACACUCGUCCGGGCUGGUCCCGGGCCCCAGUCCAGCAGCAGCAGCAGCAGCAGCGGCAGGAAUGUGUUGGUGAAGCGGCCUGGCGUGGUCGGUAAAUGGAAUAUUGCGACUUAGUAACCCGGAAAGCUCAAAGCUGUCCUUAGGAGACAGGGCAAUGAGAGCAGAGUCAGUGGGCGCAUCUCCAUUCCGCGAGAUAGGCUCAGUGAACAGACUGGUCGGGGAGCUCGUUGGAUUCAACAAUUUGCAACCACCAGCAAACGCAGAGACGGACAAUAGAAAGCACUGGCCCUGAUAGUGUCUUGGAAUUUGAACUAUUAUCCAAGAAAGCAAGCAGCUUAACUUGGAGAUAUAAAGACAGCAGGUCUGCAGGAGCUGUGAAGCAAGUGAAAAGCUAUCAGAAAAAAACAUGUUUGUUUUGACAGUCACAAGCUAGAAGGUGCGACGCUCAAGUUGAAGGUUGCCACGCCAAACACUAGUGGAAGGAUUCCAAAGUAACCUGCACCUGGGAGAAUAACUGGAACACCAAGGAACAAUGCAGUGGAUAAUAGAGAGCUGUGGCAUACUUGGUUUUGUCUCAAAAAAAAAAGCAUUACAAGGGGAUCUGGAUUUUCUAAGUCUCGGUAAACUAUGUAGUGUUAAAAAUUAAAGCGAGCCCUGCUAAGUUACAUAAGCAGUAAAACCUUUUAAAAGCA